UACAGAGGGUGCGAGCGUUGUCCGGAAUCACUGGGCGUAAAGGGCGCGUAGGUGGCUUUUUAAGCGUGCGGUGAAAGCCCGGGGCUCAACCCCGGGUCGGCCGUGCGAACUGGGAAGCUCGAGCACUGUAGAGGCGGGUGGAAUUCCGGGUGUAGCGGUGGAAUGCGUAGAGAUCCGGAAGAACACCGGUGGCGAAGGCGGCCCGCUGGGCAGUGGCUGACACUGAGGCGCGACAGCGUGGGGAGCAAACAGG
RNAcentral lists this ribosomal RNA (253 nucleotides) under uncultured bacterium. RNAcentral describes it as "partial 16S ribosomal RNA". It matches the Rfam family "Bacterial small subunit ribosomal RNA", at positions 524 to 776 of the family's 1533-position model. The record is from RNAcentral.